This 441-nucleotide ribosomal RNA is filed under the name uncultured bacterium. Its description in RNAcentral is "bacterial SSU rRNA". It matches the Rfam family "Bacterial small subunit ribosomal RNA", at positions 335 to 769 of the family's 1533-position model. The record is from RNAcentral.
ACUCCUACGGGAGGCAGCAGUGGGGAAUUUUGGACAAUGGGCGAAAGCCUGAUCCAGCAAUGCCGCGUGCAGGAUGAAGGCCUUCGGGUUGUAAACUGCUUUUGUACGGAACGAAAAGCUCCGUUCUAAUACAGGGGGCCCAUGACGGNACCGUAAGAAUAAGCACCGGCUAACUACGUGCCAGCAGCCGCGGUAAUACGUAGGGUGCGAGCGUUAAUCGGAAUUACUGGGCGUAAAGCGUGCGCAGGCGGUUAUGUAAGACAGAUGUGAAAUCCCCGGGCUCAACCUGGGAACUGCAUUUGUGACUGCAUGGCUAGAGUACGGUAGAGGGGGAUGGAAUUCCGCGUGUAGCAGUGAAAUGCGUAGAUAUGCGGAGGAACACCGAUGGCGAAGGCAAUCCCUGGACCUGUACUGACGCUCAUGCACGAAAGCGUGGGGAGC